UACGAAGGGGGCUAGCGUUGCUCGGAAUCACUGGGCGUAAAGCGCACGUAGGCGGACUCUUAAGUCGGGGGUGAAAUCCUGGAGCUCAACUCCAGAACUGCCUUUGAUACUGAAGAUCUUGAGUUCGGGAGAGGUGAGUGGAACUGCGAGUGUAGAGGUGAAAUUCGUAGAUAUUCGCAAGAACACCAGUGGCGAAGGCGGCUCACUGGCCCGAUACUGACGCUGAGGCACGAAAGCGUGGGGAGCAAACAGG
This 253-nucleotide ribosomal RNA is filed under the name uncultured bacterium. RNAcentral's name for it is "partial 16S ribosomal RNA". It matches the Rfam family "Bacterial small subunit ribosomal RNA", at positions 524 to 776 of the family's 1533-position model. The record is from RNAcentral.